GCAAAUUCUCGCCUUACAGCAGCCGCUCGCGGGGCCCCUGUAAGUUCAUAAAUACCUAUUAUUUAAACAAGUCAAAUAAAAACGCUCACUAGACCUGGAGCGCGCUUUUCACAAGCUCCUUCAGCCAAGGACAGUGACGUCCUGAGGACCAACGGAGGGCCUUUAAACUUAAUGGAAUUUGGUAACAUGUCACCGUGGCCAUCGGGCCCUUGAAAGGCCGCGAUUGGAAAUCCGUGGGAGCUCUUUAUUACCAGGAAACUUUUCACGAGGUUUUAAACAAGCCAUGUUCACUAGUGUCCAUACGGUCAAGUCGGUGUUAAAGAUCCAGCUAAAAAGAAGCGAUUCAAUUCCUAUUUCUAUGUUUGACGACAGUUUCAUCUCUGUUCUCCGUUUAAUCAGAAGUUAUUUAAAAAAAAACAGCACCUCAACCCAGACUUGACUCAUCGUAAAUACAGAAGAACAUCAAUAAAAUGAGAAAAGCUAGUGGCUGUUGGUGUGUUUCUGGUGGCCCAUCGACAGUUGUUUGUCUCUUUGCCUCCCUCAUUAUCAGAUGCAUGUGCUGAAGAAAGAAAAUAAUGACUGUUCCAUUAAAUAAAUGACAGCGAUUGGGUGA
Molecule: non-coding RNA, 613 nt
Organism: Miniopterus natalensis
Lineage: Eukaryota; Metazoa; Chordata; Mammalia; Chiroptera; Miniopteridae
Source: RefSeq, a predicted model, not a curated record